GAUGAACGCUAGCUACAGGCUUAACACAUGCAAGUCGAGGGACCGGCGCACGGGUGAGUAACACGUAUCCAACCUGCCCUUUACUCGGGGAUAGCCUUUCGCAAGAACGAUUAAUACCCGAUAUAAAGGAUGGGGAUGCGUUCAAUUAGGAUGUUGGUUAGGUAACGGCCCACCAAGCCUUCGAUGGAUAGGGUUUCUGAGAGGAAGGUCCCCGACAGUGGAACUGAGACACGGUCCAAACGCCUACGGGAGGCAGCAGUGAGGAAUAUUGGGAAAUGGGCGUGAGCCUGAACCAGCCAAGUAGCGUGAAGGAUGAAGGCUUAUGGGUCGUAAACGUCUUUUAUAUAAGAAUAUGUAUUAUAUGAAUAAGGAUCGGCUAACUCCGUGCCAGCAGCGCGGUAAUAC
Molecule: ribosomal RNA, 405 nt
Filed under: uncultured bacterium
Lineage: Bacteria
Description: partial 16S ribosomal RNA
Rfam family: Bacterial small subunit ribosomal RNA
Source: RNAcentral